Molecule: ribosomal RNA, 346 nt
Filed under: uncultured bacterium
Lineage: Bacteria
Description: bacterial SSU rRNA
Rfam family: Bacterial small subunit ribosomal RNA
Source: RNAcentral
UAAUUCCCAGCGAUGUCGCGAGAUGGCAUCAUCUUGCGACCAAAGGUGUGAUUCCGCUCUAGGACGGGCCUUCGUGGUAUUAGGUAGUUGGUGAGGUAACGGCUCACCAAGCCGACGAUGCCUACCGGGUGUGAGAGCAUGACCCGGCACACUGGAACUGAGACACUGUCCAGACACCUACGGGUGGCUGCAGUCGAGAAUCUUCGGCAAUGGGCGAAAGCCUGACCGAGCGACGCCGCGUGAGGGAAGAAGGCCUUCGGGUUGUAAACCUCUUUCGUAGAGGAGGAAGGGGCCGUGCAGAGCGGUCUUUGACCUAUUCUAGGAAGAAGCUUGGGCUAAGUUCGUG